UCUUCAUUUCACAUACUCUCUCAUCACGGGACCGGCCAAGAGAGUCUGUGAAAUGAAGAGA
This 61-nucleotide microRNA precursor is filed under the name Pristionchus pacificus. RNAcentral describes it as "microRNA ppc-mir-8364c precursor (ppc-mir-8364c-2)". Lineage: Eukaryota; Metazoa; Nematoda; Chromadorea; Rhabditida; Neodiplogasteridae. The record is from miRBase by way of RNAcentral.